RNAcentral lists this ribosomal RNA (497 nucleotides) under uncultured bacterium. Its description in RNAcentral is "partial 16S ribosomal RNA". It matches the Rfam family "Bacterial small subunit ribosomal RNA", at positions 28 to 507 of the family's 1533-position model. The record is from RNAcentral.
GAUGAACGCUGGCGGCGUGCCUAAUACAUGCAAGUCGAGCGAACGGACGAGAAGCUUGCUUCUCUGAUGUUAGCGGCGGACGGGUGAGUAACACGUGGAUAACCUACCUAUAAGACUGGGAUAACUUCGGGAAACCGGAGCUAAUACCGGAUAAUAUUUUGAACCGCAUGGUUCAAAAGUGAAAGACGGUCUUGCUGUCACUUAUAGAUGGAUCCGCGCUGCAUUAGCUAGUUGGUAAGGUAACGGCUUACCAAGGCAACGAUGCAUAGCCGACCUGAGAGGGUGGUCGGCCACACUGGAACUUAGACACGGUCCAAGCUCCUACGGGAGGCAGCAGUAGGGAAUCUUCCGCAAUGGGCGAAAGCCUUACGGAGCAACGCCGCGUGAGUGAUGAAGGUCUUCGGAUCGUAAAACUCUGUUAUUAGGGAAGAACAUAUGUGUAAGUAACUGUGCACAUCUUGACGGUACCUAAUCAGAAAGCCACGGCUAACUACGUG